RNAcentral lists this unclassified non-coding RNA (346 nucleotides) under soil metagenome. Its description in RNAcentral is "partial contains 5.8S ribosomal RNA, internal transcribed spacer 2, and large subunit ribosomal RNA". The stretch from base 1 to 120 matches the Rfam family "5.8S ribosomal RNA", at positions 35 to 154 of the family's 154-position model. The record is from RNAcentral.
GAUGAAGAACGUAGCGAAAUGCGAUAAGUAGUGUGAAUUGCAGAAUUCAGUGAAUCAUCGAAUCUUUGAACGCACAUUGCGCCCCUUGGUAUUCCAUGGGGCAUGCCUGUUCGAGCGUCAUUGCUGCCCUCAAGCACGGCUUGUGUGUUGGGCCCCGUCCUCCGAUUCCGGGGGACGGGCCCGAAAGGCAGCGGCGGCACCGCGUCCGGUCCUCGAGCGUAUGGGGCUUUGUCACCCGCUCUGUAGGCCCGGCCGGCGCUUGCCGAUCAACCCAAAUUUUUAUCCAGGUUGACCUCGGAUCAGGUAGGGAUACCCGCUGAACUUAAGCAUAUCAAUAAGCGGAGGA